Molecule: ribosomal RNA, 508 nt
Filed under: uncultured archaeon
Lineage: Archaea
Description: bacterial SSU rRNA
Rfam family: Archaeal small subunit ribosomal RNA
Source: RNAcentral
CACCGGCGGCCCGAGUGGUGAUCGUGAUUAUUGGGUCUAAAGGGUCCGUAGCCGGUUUGGUCAGUCCUCCGGGAAAUCUGAUAGCUCAACUAUUAGGCUUUCGGGGGAUACUGCCAGACUUGGAACCGGGAGAGGUAAGAGGUACUACAGGGGUAGGAGUGAAAUCUUGUAAUCCCUGUGGGACCACCUGUGGCGAAGGCGUCUUACCAGAACGGGUUCGACGGUGAGGGACGAAAGCUGGGGGCACGAACCGGAUUAGAUACCCGGGUAGUCCCAGCCGUAAACGAUGCUCGCUAGGUGUCAGGCAUGGCGCGACCGUGUCUGGUGCCGCAGGGAAGCCGUGAAGCGAGCCACCUGGGAAGUACGGCCGCAAGGCUGAAACUUAAAGGAAUUGGCGGGGGAGCACAACAACGGGUGGAGCCUGCGGUUUAAUUGGACUCAACGCCGGACAACUCACCGGGGGCGACAGCAAUAUGUAGGCCAAGCUGAAGACUUUGCCUGAAUCGCU